GUGAAUCAUCGAAUCUUUGAACGCACCUUGCGCCUCUUGGUAUUCCGAGAGGCAUGCCUGUUUGAGUGUCUUAUAAACUCAAUCACCAUGGGUUCCUUUUGACCCAUUGGCUGACUUGGAUCUGGGCGUCUGCCGGUCACACGGCUCGCCUUAAAGACGUUAGUGGGACCUGCUGCCUACGGCCUGACGUGAUAAGUUUCGUCUGACGGUGGUGGCUCACGCCUGCUCACAAACCUGCCCUAGGGCAAUCUACUUUGUGCUAGACCUCAAAUCAGGUAGGACUACCCGCUGAACUUAAGC
RNAcentral lists this unclassified non-coding RNA (300 nucleotides) under uncultured Tremellales. RNAcentral's name for it is "sequence contains 5.8S rRNA gene, ITS2". The stretch from base 1 to 71 matches the Rfam family "5.8S ribosomal RNA", at positions 84 to 154 of the family's 154-position model. The record is from RNAcentral. Lineage: Eukaryota; Fungi; Basidiomycota; Tremellomycetes; Tremellales.